ACGCUUACCUGAAAGGAGAGACACCAUGAUCAGGCAGGUGGUUUUCCAGGGUGAGGUUCAUCACCUGCUCUCUGGGUGUGCUGAACCCUGUGACUUCCCCAAAUGCAGGAAACUUGACAGCAUAAUAUGUGGUAUAAUAUGUGGAGGCUGCAUUUGCACUCACAGU
This 166-nucleotide small nuclear RNA is filed under the name Numida meleagris (helmeted guineafowl). RNAcentral describes it as "U1 spliceosomal RNA (ENSNMEG00000003517.1)". It matches the Rfam family "U1 spliceosomal RNA". From Rfam's summary of the family: U1 is a small nuclear RNA (snRNA) component of the spliceosome (involved in pre-mRNA splicing). Its 5' end forms complementary base pairs with the 5' splice junction, thus defining the 5' donor site of an intron. The record is from RNAcentral. Lineage: Eukaryota; Metazoa; Chordata; Aves; Galliformes; Numididae.